AACGACUCUCGGCAACGGAUAUCUCGGCUCUCGCAUCGAUGAAGAACGUAGCGAAAUGCGAUACUUGGUGUGAAUUGCAGAAUCCCGCGAACCAUCGAGUCUUUGAACGCAAGUUGCGCCCGAAGCCAUUAGGCCGAGGGCACGUCUGGCUGGGUGUCACGCAACG
Molecule: ribosomal RNA, 166 nt
Filed under: Tessmannia neglecta
Lineage: Eukaryota; Viridiplantae; Streptophyta; Magnoliopsida; Fabales; Fabaceae
Description: 5.8S ribosomal RNA
Rfam family: 5.8S ribosomal RNA
About the family: 5.8S ribosomal RNA (5.8S rRNA) is a component of the large subunit of the eukaryotic ribosome. It is transcribed by RNA polymerase I as part of the 45S precursor that also contains 18S and 28S rRNA.
Source: RNAcentral